RNAcentral lists this ribosomal RNA (294 nucleotides) under Clostridioides difficile. Its description in RNAcentral is "partial 16S ribosomal RNA". It matches the Rfam family "Bacterial small subunit ribosomal RNA", at positions 1231 to 1524 of the family's 1533-position model. Lineage: Bacteria; Bacillati; Bacillota; Clostridia; Peptostreptococcales; Peptostreptococcaceae. The record is from RNAcentral.
UGGGUAGUACAGAGGGUUGCCAAACCGUAAGGUGGAGCUAAUCCCUUAAAGCUACUCUCAGUUCGGAUUGUAGGCUGAAACUCGCCUACAUGAAGCUGGAGUUACUAGUAAUCGCAGAUCAGAAUGCUGCGGUGAAUGCGUUCCCGGGUCUUGUACACACCGCCCGUCACACCACGGGAGUUGGAGACGCCCGAAGCCGAUUAUCUAACCUUUUGGAAGAAGUCGUCGAAGGUGGAAUCAAUAACUGGGGUGAAGUCGUAACAAGGUAGCCGUAUCGGAAGGUGCGGCUGGAUC